RNAcentral lists this long non-coding RNA (517 nucleotides) under Homo sapiens (human). Its description in RNAcentral is "HSALNT0373345". The record is from RNAcentral. Lineage: Eukaryota; Metazoa; Chordata; Mammalia; Primates; Hominidae.
GCUGAGUCCUGGACACCCAACACUUUAAAUGAGGCCUGGGGAGACAUUUACUGAGGAUCUGGCCCCUGCCCCAAGAAAGGGGGUCCCAGGCCAAAAAGCUGAGUAAACAGAUAUUUUUGCCACAGUGUGUGCCUGUUCCUUUGUGCAAGUCCAGACCGGUUUGUCCUCGCAUCCCUUCCUUGCCCUUCCUCUGCUCCACGGCCUCCUGCAGGGAGCUGAUCCCUGACGUCUCCUAGGUUCCCAGGUCAGCUGGCUGCUGGCUGGACUCUGGCCAGGCCAGCGGUGCACCAGUUGGAGGUGGGGGCAGCACUUCCAGAUGCAGCUCCAGGGCCUGCUGGACAGGCCCCCUGUGAUUCUGCCUUCUUCUAGGCUGUAGUGACAUCACCCCUGUCCUUUGUCCCUCCUGCCUGGAGGUGUCAAUGACUUCUGACUGGGGUCUCCCUGCCCCUCAUGGGCUUCUCAACUUCUUCUGUCACAUAUGUAACCAUUUCUCUGAAUAAAUUCCCUUUGUUUAAAA